UACGUAGGGUGCAAGCGUUAAUCGGAAUUACUGGGCGUAAAGGGCUCGUAGGCGGCCAACUAAGUCGGAUGUGAAAUCCCCAGGCUCAACCUGGGAACUGCAUCCGAUACUGGAUGGCUUGAAUCCGGGAGAGGGAUGCAGAAUUCCAGGUGUAGCGGUGAAAUUCGUAGAUAUUCGCAAGAACACCAGUGGCGAAGGCGGCUCACUGGACCGGUUCUGACGCUGAUGCGCGAAAGCGUGGGGAGCAAACGGG
RNAcentral lists this ribosomal RNA (253 nucleotides) under uncultured bacterium. RNAcentral's name for it is "partial 16S ribosomal RNA". It matches the Rfam family "Bacterial small subunit ribosomal RNA", at positions 524 to 776 of the family's 1533-position model. The record is from RNAcentral.